Cyprinus carpio carpio is the source of this 1178-nucleotide long non-coding RNA. The record is from Ensembl. NCBI's taxonomy places the organism in Eukaryota, Metazoa, Chordata, Actinopteri, Cypriniformes, Cyprinidae.
AACAUAGCCUAUUUCAAAAAAAAAAAAGAACGCUUUUCCAAAAAGUGAAAAUAGACAAAACAAUAAUCCAUAAAGCCACAAGAUGAAAAAAUAAAAAAUAAAAGUAAUUGCCUUAUAAUUUGACGAGACAAAAAGGGCCAAAACUCCAUUGUUUAUUAACUACAUCUUUAUUAAUUUCAAAAUGUGUGUUCACUAAGUCUCUGAUUAAAUGUUUUAUAGUUAUCCAACAGAAAGCCAUUCGACAAAGACAUUUCAUCAACAGCUGCUCAACAAAUAAUUCAUUGAACAAAAGACUAUAACAUCCACGGAGUUAAUCAAUUCAGACUGGAGACCAUGUUCAGAGAUGAGAGAAAGACGAUGUUUCUGGAGGACAGACGAUGAUCUCUGUGUGGAGAGGUUGAGAGUAUAAUGUUGGGACUCCAUCAGUCUUUGUGUGGCAUCGGCUGAAAUCAGUGGAUCUGUAGUUCCCUGAAUCUUCAGUCGUUUCAGUCUCUCGGAGCAGACAGUGUCUUUCAGAGAGAAUCAGUAAACACUCACUUCCUGAGGACAGGGACGCUCUGCAACAUUUAUGCAUUUGUCAGAUGCUUUUAUGCAUAAUGACUUAUGUUGCAGUGUGUAAUAUGUGGAUUAUACAUGAGAUGAGACACAGACCACAGACUGAACUACUGCAUCAACAUGUGCUUUAAUGUGAUUCUCACAGGUGUAUUCACCUUUCAUCAGGUGUGUGGACAAAGAAAGAUCUCAGCAGCUCAUGUUUGCUCAGCACAGUAGCUGCUGGUUUCCUUUUUUGUGUCCUUGAUAUGCUCCUGUUAUCUCCUGGAAGUAAAAGUAGAAGAGAUCUUCCCUAAUCAGUUUCCUGGUUCACUAAGUGCAUUAUUGUAAUAUUCAUAUCAAAGAGCUUUAUAUUUUUAUAGACAUACAUUUUUUAAAUUCUCUCAAACUCUCAAACAAGUUUCAUAAGGGCUAAAAGACUAUGAAGCAUUGUUUUUAAAGCAAAUACUCCUAUAAAAGGCCCUCGGUGAGUCCAGCAUGAAUAGUUAUUAUUUACCGUUUCUUAUGUCCAGUAGAGUGAACUAACUACAAUAUUUCUCUUGUUUCAUGCACUGAAGGCCAUAACAGAUGCACACAGAUGAUGUUCUGUGCAGAUUCAAAUAAAGGCAAAUUAUGUAGGUUCAGUA